GACGUAGGGUGCGAGCGUUGUCCGGAUUUACUGGGCGUAAAGAGCGCGUAGGCGGUCUGUUAAGUGUGAAGUGAAAUCUCCAGAGCUCAACUCGGAAACUGCUUCGCAUACUGACAGGCUGGAGGAACGGAGAGGUGAGUGGAAUUCCUGGUGUACCGGUGAAAUGGGUUGAUAUCAGGAGGAACACCGAUGGCGAAGGCGGAUCUCUGGGCCUUACCUGACGCUGAGGAGCGAAAGCAUGGGGAGCAAACAGG
This 254-nucleotide ribosomal RNA is filed under the name uncultured bacterium. RNAcentral's name for it is "partial 16S ribosomal RNA". It matches the Rfam family "Bacterial small subunit ribosomal RNA", at positions 524 to 776 of the family's 1533-position model. The record is from RNAcentral.